GAUGAACGCUGGCGGCGUGCCUAAUACAUGCAAGUCGAGCGAACAGAUAAGGAGCUUGCUCCUUUGACGUUAGCGGCGGACGGGUGAGUAACACGUGGGUAACCUACCUAUAAGACUGGGAUAACUUCGGGAAACCGGAGCUAAUACCGGAUAAUAUUUCGAACCGCAUGGUUCGAUAGUGGAAGAUGGUUUUGCUAUCACUUAUAGAUGGACCCGCGCCGUAUUAGCUAGUUGGUAAGGUAACGGCUUACCAAGGCGACGAUACGUAGCCGACCUGAGAGGGUGAUAGGCCACACUGGAACGGAGACAGGGUCCAGACUCCUACGGGAGGCAGCAGUAGGGAAUCUUCCGCAAUGGGCGAAAGCCUGACGGAGCAACGCCGCGUGAGUGAUGAAGGUCUUCGGAUCGUAAAACUCUGUUAUUAGGGAAGAACAUAAGUGUAAGUAACUGUGCACGUCUUGACGGUACCUAAUCAGAAAGCCACGGCUAACUACGUG
Molecule: ribosomal RNA, 497 nt
Filed under: uncultured bacterium
Lineage: Bacteria
Description: partial 16S ribosomal RNA
Rfam family: Bacterial small subunit ribosomal RNA
Source: RNAcentral